CUGGGGAUGUAUCUCAGUGGUAGAGUGCUCACCUAGUAUGUGUGAGGCCCUGGGUUCAAUCUCCAAUACUGAAA
This 74-nucleotide transfer RNA is filed under the name Marmota monax (woodchuck). RNAcentral's name for it is "tRNA.Thr". Lineage: Eukaryota; Metazoa; Chordata; Mammalia; Rodentia; Sciuridae. The record is from RNAcentral.